RNAcentral lists this long non-coding RNA (346 nucleotides) under Setaria viridis. Its description in RNAcentral is "long non-coding RNA (SVIR_LNC003165)". The record is from RNAcentral. Lineage: Eukaryota; Viridiplantae; Streptophyta; Magnoliopsida; Poales; Poaceae.
GGUUAUGGGUGAAAUUCAGGGACCUUGGCGCAAUUAACCCGUAGACCUGGGGGCUAGAUUGAAAGUUUGCCUCGGUUUUCUUUAUUUCCUAGAUCUAAAAAGGCUGAAACUUUGGAAAUUCGUAGUAAAUUUUAGAAAAAGCAUAAAAUAGCAAAUGAAUAUGUUUUGGAAUCCUUGUGAGAAGAUCUAUGCAGUAGAGUCAUAAUAUGAUAUGUGUUAGUAGAAAGUUUUUGAUGUUUUUAUUUAUCCUUGCAAAGUGCUUUUAGAAAUCCUUUUAAGUUGGUUGGGUGCAUAUUUUGAGUUAUAGAAGUCCAAAGGUUGUGAUUCCAGUUGUUUUAGUCUUGUG